This is a long non-coding RNA of Gasterosteus aculeatus aculeatus (three-spined stickleback), 834 nucleotides long. Lineage: Eukaryota; Metazoa; Chordata; Actinopteri; Perciformes; Gasterosteidae. The record is from Ensembl.
GUAGUCACCUGACUCGUUCGUGUCGGUAGUCACCUGACUCGUUAGUGUCAGUAGUCACGUGACUCGUUCGUGUCGGUAGUCACCUGACUCGUUCGUGUCGGUAGUCACCUGACUCGUUAGUGUCGGUAGUCAUGUGACUCGUUAGUGUCGGUGGUCACGUGAGUCGUUAGUGUCGGUAGUCACCUGACUCGUUCGUGUCGGUAGUCAGGUGAGUCGUUAGUGUCGGUGGUCAGGUGAGUCGUUGUCAGUACAGAGUCGUGUGAGUCUCUUGAAUCCCUUUUGUCUGCAGAAGUGGACCAGAAGCUUUUCAGCCUUCAUGAGGCGAGUCCUCUGAAGCCGGAGGAUCCACAGCGAUGAAGAAGAAGAACCAGAAGAAGCUUUCAGAUCGGGUUUGGAUUCAUACACAUGAAGCCUCGUGGAGAUCUGAGGUGUGAGUCGGUACACUUUGAGGAAGAGAACCUGGUGUUGGUGGGAACUCUUAAUAGUCUCACGUGCUUCUGUAAUCGCUCUCCACACUGCAGCAGAGAAGCACGAGACUCAUUAAAUCCCUCCAGACCUCCUCAAACAUUCAUUCUGAAAGUCCUACCUGGAGGAGGCCAGAUGCUCGAGUAUCUCGAGUAAAGAUCAUACUAGCUAGUGAUUCAUGGUCUGUAAACCUGUGGAUUACUUUUUCCAUUAGCUGUUUAGUUUAUGAAAAUAAAACAAGUCCUCAAAUCUCUGGUUUGCUCACAACAAUCUGAUAAUAUUCAUAUUUAAGACAACUGGAGACUUUUUACUUUUUGCAUCAAACUGAUUCCUCAACUCAACGGUAGCCGAUAAUUAUACUUGAAUAAA